UAAGGAGACCCUCAGCUGUGAGAAUGCACCCACAGCUCUGAGAACCUGAUGCAGAUAUUCGUUGAGUUCCUAUUGUAUGCCGUGUGCUGUGCAUUCCAUGAUGAACCAAAACCAUGAGCUGACAGUCUAGCAGAAAAGAGCAACAGGAAGCGAGUGACCACAGGAGGCGUGUCAAUGGAUUGUGGUUCAGUUUAGCAAAGUGGAAACGCCGAGCGAGGUCUGAAGUGAGGGACCGGAGAUUACUUUGGCCUGUGGACGCUGCACUGCCCACGAGACAUCCAGAUGCAGACAUCAAGGAAACAACUGGACCCAUGAAUCUACAGCUAAGAGAUCAAGAAGCCUCAUUAACAAUGAGCAGACGCUUCACCCACAUGCACCAGCAGGUCCUGAAGACUUUCACCAACGCCACAGCGCUUCUGCCUCUGGACCAUGGGGAACCUGCCAGGACGAGGAAGCACUCUGCCCCAACUCACGCUUUCCCAUGAGAAUGCAUCAUCCUCCAGACACAGGAAAUGUGUCCUCAUGACACUAAGGCCCCUCCCUGAAAUCCUGGAGGGCAAAAUCACUGUGAAUCACCGAUGAACCAAGACCUGUCAGAUGUCAGCCCUGAAAGAUGAGGUCCUGGGAGUGACUUUCACACAUGAGGAGAGAGAGUGACUGAGAAGGGAGCCCACCUUGUGAAGAGAGCUGAGAGAUUUUGCCAAGUGACAUCAACUGGACACUGGAUCAAGCUGCUCCUGAAGCUAGUGUAUCCAAGGACCUUC
This is a non-coding RNA of Delphinapterus leucas (beluga whale), 764 nucleotides long. The record is from RefSeq and is a predicted model, not a curated record. NCBI's taxonomy places the organism in Eukaryota, Metazoa, Chordata, Mammalia, Artiodactyla, Monodontidae.